This is a non-coding RNA of Vicugna pacos (alpaca), 3249 nucleotides long. NCBI's taxonomy places the organism in Eukaryota, Metazoa, Chordata, Mammalia, Artiodactyla, Camelidae. The record is from RefSeq and is a predicted model, not a curated record.
AGGGGUUCCCCAUCCUGUCUUCCCGAUGUAACUCAGCUCUUCCGGUCCUCUGCGUGUUUGGCGCGUAAGGUGGGUUCCUGUUGUAGGGACAUGGGCUCCGUGCUAGACGCGGAAUCCGCGGCAAAACGGAUAGCAGCUGUGCCCUCAUGGAGCUUACGUGAAGUUAUGCACAACAAACAAAUGCAAACGCGGUAUAAAGUCAAAAUAUGACCGGUGUUUAAAGAUGAGUGAAAAUUGCCUCUGGGACCGAAACAGCAAGUAAACUCACCUUUGUGAGCCACCGCCCUGAGCCUCGUUGAUGUAUCAGCACCACGGAGAGCAGCUUAUCUCACACCCGACCCGUUAAUGCUUGAGUCACUCAAAUGGUGGUAAAGAAGCAAACUAUGUUUUUUCUAAUCGGCGUGGGAACUGAAGAUUGCAAAAUGGGAAGAAUACUGCUCCCAGUGCUCCUUCAGGAUGCUGCUUCCAUCUAUGUUAAGCCCUGGGUUAACUCCGCAGAAAGGUCCCCAGCAAUACAGGUGAGGAGGGCUUUGGGAGCCAGGAGGCCUUCGGUCCAGCCCCUACAAGAACUUUUCACGACUGACUGAGGCAGAUUUUGACCCCUUCACAUGUGCCGCUCGGCUUCCCUGGUGGUGUCUCUUAAUCUGUGCCAAAGGCCACAAAGCUCCAAGCCUGCACACGCUUACCAGUUGAAAUUCCAGGUAAGAAAGGCUUGCCUCUCUUGCUGUAGUUCCAGCACCGGCCCAGAGAGGGCACUGAUCAUCUGGGUAAACCACCUGAUCUAAGAGCCAGUGAGAUGCUGAGCAGUCAGUUGGACCUCCCCUGCAGGCAGGUGCUGUGCUGGAAGCACAUCAUUCAGUCCUUACCACCUAAUGAAAUGAGUGCUGUUAUUCCUAUUUUGCAAAUCUAAUUUCAUGUGGUGUAUUAGUUUGCUAGGGUUGUCAUACCAAAAUACCACAGACUGGGUGGCUUAGACAAUGGAAGUUACUUUUCUCCUGGCUUAAACAGUGGAAAUUAAUUGCUUCACUCCAGUAUAUUUUAGUUCCUCAAAUACACUGGAAGUCUGCAAUCCAGGUGUUAGCUGAGUUGUUUUCCUCUCAGGCCUCUCUCCUUGGCUUGCAGAUGGUGGCCCUCCAGCUGCCUCAUUACCUGUUCUUUUUCCUCUGUGCACAUGCACCCCUGUGUCCUCAUUUCCUUCUCUUACAAGGACACCAGUCAGACUGGAACACGCCCAUCAUCAUGGCCUCAUUUUAACUUACCACCUCUUUAAAGGUCGCAUCUCCAAAUACAGCCACAUUCUGAGGAACUGGGGGUUAGGGCAUCAACAUAUAAAUUUCAGGGGGGGCACUCUUCAGCCCAUAACGCUCCCUAGUAAAUGGUGAGGGUGAGACUUACAGUUAGAGGCGGAGCCUAGCCAUGGUGCUGUCAUUUCCCUGCUACAGCUCAUGGUGAUGCCCACUUAAGCGAAGUCUUUACAAUCCAGAGCAGCAGGGAAAGGGACGGUAUCCAAUGAGAACCUUAGUGUGAUGUCCCGGGAACAGCCUGGUGGUAUACGGGAGUCUUGGCUCCCCAGGGUGGGUUGGGGUUAACUGGGCCCGGCUUGAUUGUCCAAGUACUUGUGUUUUCUUUUCUCUGAAGCAUCUUCAGAUUGUUUUCCCUUUGGCUUUCCAAAGUCCAGCCAUCAUGAAGAAACUAGGCAGAACAAAUCUUUUCUCCCCUCCCACUUCUGUCAAAGAGAAGACAUUUCCCAAAGUGUGGGAUUCAGACUCAUGGUGAAUAUGGGAGGUAAGUUUAGAUGUUACCCAGGUCAAAACAUUUGAAGAGUUACGAAUUUAUUUGAAUUUGUAUUAAAAGCCUUAAACUGGUCCUUAUCCAUAUUUCACUGCUACUGAUACAUAGAAAAGUCAGGUAUGAGUCAAUUGAAAGAAAUACAUCACAUAAAUAGCAUUAAGUAAAUAAAUAAUCUGAUGAAAAUUGUGAAGGUUGGUAUCUGAGUGACUGAAAUUCGGGAAACACUGGAACAGUCUCCCUACAAGUAGGAAACAUUUUGGUUGUGGGCAUAGAUGUCACCUUGCUUUUUUUUGACCUGAUUCAUCUAUACUCUUGGCCCUUAUUUGCCCUGAGGACUCAUCAUGAGGGUGACUGCAGGACUUUGGUUUCUCUGCCUGUGCCCCUGUGCCGAUCACAUUGGGGGCCAGGUGAAGAGGCGAGUGGAUGCUAGGGUGAUAGUGAGAGGCCAGCUUUUGUGGUUAAGGCUUCUGGGUUUUAUUUAUUUAGAGUCUUGCUCUAGGGCUCCUGAACAGCUUGGCAGUGACUCACAGCUCUGUAUGUAAAAGCAGGUGUUUAUCACUGUGUGAUCAAGAGUUUUAGCAACUCAAAGUCUGAUGUGGAAGGAAGCAUUUAAAAUUUAAUUACACAUAGGGCAUAACUCUGCAGACUCAAUUCAUAAUUGCUAUGAAUUUUAGCAGUGCUUUGUUCCCCUUGAAUUUCAAGCCCUUCUGCUCCACAUUUGGCUCUGUUCAGUGGCCAGCCGCAGCUGCUGACACCUGCCACUGCCUGUCCCUGUGUUUCCAUACCAGGUGCCUGGUGAGGAUGAGCGGCUCUGGGCACAGGGGAGCUGGCUGCUUGUCCUGAUCUGCUCAAAUGCUCAGUGGCCUGUUACCGUGGCUGCAUUUUGCAGCCACUGUAUUGGCUUUAAGCUCUAAUUUUCUGUGAUUCCUGUGCACCUCUCCCCCCAGGUUGUGUUCUGCUUUAUUAAUGUAAGGUUGCCCUCCAGUGUCCAGAGAGAUCAUGUGCCUGGGGAAAGGGCUCCCUUCUAGAACUUGAGAAAGUUGGACACAAAAUAUUGCAGUGUCUGUCCAAAGAAGAAAGAUAGUUUAGAGCAGCACUUCUCAGACUUCACUAUGUGUGUGAAUCACCUGGGGGUCUUAGUGAAAUAUGGGUUCAGACUGAGUAGGUUGGGAGUGGGGCCUGAGAUUCUGCCUUCCUUGCAAGCUCCCUGGUGACUCCCUUGCUGCUGGUUGCAGCCCACACAUUGAGCAGCAAGACUUGGAGCAAUUCUCCCUGCUUCUUGUAGGUUAACAACCACAGCGCAGGCCAGAUAGUCUUCACAUAACCUGCAUGAAUGAGAGGUGUCCUCGUCCCUCUGUAUGUUCCGGCUCCUGCCUUCCACCUCUUCUAAUCUCAUUCUCCCCUUCAUUUGCUUCACUCCAGUAUAUUUUAGUUCCUCAAAUACACUAAGCUCUUACC